RNAcentral lists this long non-coding RNA (349 nucleotides) under Nicotiana tabacum (common tobacco). RNAcentral's name for it is "long non-coding RNA (NTAB_LNC006758)". Lineage: Eukaryota; Viridiplantae; Streptophyta; Magnoliopsida; Solanales; Solanaceae. The record is from RNAcentral.
UUUGCUCUAACAAGGACGACGAAGAUUGUUGUGCAUGAAAAUCACCAGGAUUUUGCAAUAAUUGUGAGUAUUCCCAAUAAUCUCUAACCAUUUCUGAACUCUGAAAAGGCGGCUGCUGCUGCUGCUGCUGAGGUUGAUAUGUUUGAAAAAAUGGUGAUGGAGUUGUUGCUGCAGCCAUUAAUGGGAAUUGUGAAGCUGCUGAGGAGCUGGAAAUGGCUGAUCUUGUUGUGGGUUGAUAUUGUUGUUGUUGUUGUGGUAAUAAGCGGACAUUUUCGGGGAAAUUGAGCUUAGCUCUGUUUCCUCUGAAUCGAAGAGCAGCUUCAUCAUAAGCUCUAGCGGCAGCUUCAGC